GACGAACGCUGGCGGCGUGCCUAACACAUGCAAGUCGAACGGGGAAUAGCAAUAUUCCUAGUGGCGAACGGGUGAGUAACGCGUAGACAACCUGCCUUCUAGACGGGGACAACGUUCCGAAAGGAGCGCUAAUACCGGAUGAGGUGCCUUGGGCGCAUGCCUGGGGUAAGAAAGGUGGCCUCUAUUUAUAAGCUACCGCUAGAAGAUGGGUCUGCGUCUGAUUAGCUAGUUGGCGGGGUAGGAGCCCACCAAGGCGACGAUCAGUAGCCGGUCUGAGAGGAUGAACGGCCACACUGGGACUGAGACACGGCCCAGACUCCUACGGGAGGCAGCAGUGGGGAAUCUUCCGCAAUGGACGAAAGUCUGACGGAGCAACGCCGCGUGAGAGAAGAAGGUUUUCGGAUUGUAAAUCCCUGUCUUUUGGGAAGAAUGGCUUUUAUGUGAAUAAUGUGAGAGCAUGACGGUACCAGAGGAGGAAGCCACGGCUAACUACGUGCCAGC
This 501-nucleotide ribosomal RNA is filed under the name uncultured bacterium. RNAcentral's name for it is "bacterial SSU rRNA". It matches the Rfam family "Bacterial small subunit ribosomal RNA", at positions 28 to 512 of the family's 1533-position model. The record is from RNAcentral.